Molecule: small nuclear RNA, 18 nt
Filed under: Arabidopsis thaliana (thale cress)
Lineage: Eukaryota; Viridiplantae; Streptophyta; Magnoliopsida; Brassicales; Brassicaceae
Description: snRNA_12820
Source: RNAcentral
AGUUCCGAACCCGUCGGC